RNAcentral lists this ribosomal RNA (471 nucleotides) under uncultured bacterium. RNAcentral's name for it is "bacterial SSU rRNA". It matches the Rfam family "Bacterial small subunit ribosomal RNA", at positions 364 to 832 of the family's 1533-position model. The record is from RNAcentral.
UUCGCAAUGCCCGAAAGGGUGAACGAGCGACGCCGCGUGCGGGAUGAAGGGUUUCGGCUUGUAAACCGCUUUUCUUUGGGAAGAAGGUCUGUCUCGUGCGGAUGGGCUCGACGGUACCAGAGGAAUAAGCCUCGGCUAACUCCGUGCCAGCAGCCGCGGUAAGACGGAGGAGGCAAGCGUUGUUCGGAAUUAUUGGGCAUAGAGCGCGUGUAGGCGGCAUCGUAAGUCGGGUGUGAAAUCCUUCGGCCUAACCGAGGAAUUGCGCCCGAAACUACCUUGCUUGAGGACCAGAGGGGAGCCUGGAAUUCCUGGUGGAGCGGUGAAAAGCGUUGAUAUCAGGAGGAACACCGGCGGCGAAGGCGAGGCUCUGGCUGGUUACUGACGCUGAGACGCGAAAGCUAGGGGAGCAAACGGGAUUAGAUACCCCGGUAGUCCUAGCCGUAAACGAUGGGCACUAAGUAGAGGGGUUUU